UCGCCCGGGCGUUAAUUUUACCGAAAUUUUACCCUGUUUAUUGAAGAAUAUGACUGGUACAAUUGCAAGGCAGUGAAAAUUUCUGCUGCUAUGUCAUUCUCUGGAUUGAAAACGAUUAUCCCUCUCUAACACCAUAACGACACUUUUCAAGUAACCGAGCUGCAUGUGAUAUAAAACCGGUUAUCCAGAAAUGGGAGUAAGUCGGCUGUGGCUGAUCGACCGAGAUGGACGAGUGUUCAUAUUUGACCUACGGGACAAGUCUUGGCGUUAUAUAACAACUCCUAAACUUGGAUCAAGGAAUUUUUUUAAGCGUGUUUCAGCAGUGGAGCAGUGUGCAUGGGCAAUCAGUGCCAGUCAACAGCCUUAUUUGUUUGUUCACGCAACUGAACUUCCUAUCAGAGUGAAGGUGGAAACAUAUGAGAAUCAGCGCUGGGGAAUUCUUAAUAAAUGGUCGCAUAAAUCGAUGUUCCCCUCUGAUCGAUGGCAAUUUAGCAGUAAAGAUGGAAAGCGGUCUCUCCCAAAGGAAUCAUUUAAGUUGCCAUCAGUAGAAUGGAUAUGGGAAGGAGACUGGUACAUUGAUCGUGGUCUUGAUGGCGAUAGUGAUGGUUGGCAAUAUGCUCUUGAUUUUCCAAGAACCUAUCAUCCACAACAGAGUACAACAUCUUGUGUAAGAAGGCGAUUGUGGUCAAGAUAUUACAGAUUUGAUGGCUAUGACCGCUGGAUUAAGGUUCCUGGUUUAAGUGAAGACCCAGGAAAGGAUCCCCUCCAAGACAUUGCUGUUGGUGGCGCAGUUAUUCCCGGAAGAGAUCCUGGUUAUCUGGCAGUCUGGGCAGUUACGUUUCAGGGAAAGGUUAUUUACCGUUCUGGGGUGUCUGACAAAUGUCCUGAAGGUGAAAAGUGGAUAGUGGUCCCUUCCCCCCAAAUCAGCAUCACACAGCUGUCUGUGAGCCCGUCAGGAGUGGUGUGGGGAGUAACAUGGGAAGGAGUGGCUGUGGUUCGGGUUGGAGUCUCUUUCUAUGAACCAACUGGAACAGCUUGGCAAAAAGUGGCAUCCCCAGAUGCAGCACCAGAACUGGAACCAUGUCAUCUUUUACAAGUAUCUGCUGGACUGAGCUGUCUGUGGGCCUUAACCAAAGAUGGCCAGGUUUGGUUUAGAAAAGGUUUGUCAAGAGCAAGUGAUAGCGAAACUACUGUGACUGGGUCCAGAUGGGUGCAAAUGGUUGGAAAAUUUUCCCUAAUUACUGUUGGUUUAAAUGACCAGGUCUUUGCUCUCAGUACUCUGGGGGACCACAUUUAUUUUCGCACAGAUGUGACGUCUGACGAACUUGUGGGAAGGACAUGGAAGGUCGUGCACAUGAACAAGCCCCUAAUAUCAUGCAGCGAAGCCACCAGCCUAGAUACAGUCAGCUCUGACGGCAGCAGCUCUGACGGCAGCAGCUCAGCUGAAAAUAGUGAAAGUGUCUUCACUGAGUCUGAUGACAGCUUCAGUCUCGCCAAUCCAUCUAACCUUCCGUCCAACAUCGAAUUUUUGACUUGGCUCAGCAGUGGAGCUUGUGAGGUGGACUCUUCGAUAUUCACCGAGAUAAGUGGCAGUCUGGUUUCCUCGGCCAGCAGCAUGAAUCUAAGUUUAAGUAGUAGGAAUGCCGCCUGGAGGAAGAGCGUAAUAAAGCGACUGCGGGAAAGAGACAACAAGGAAACAGGGCACUACAACAAGUACGAAGAAGGUAUCUCACAGGGUGAAUGGUGUAAAAAGGCUCGUUUCCAGAUGCUGUCCGCUGCAGAUUCCAACCUGUGGUACGAGUGUAUGGUGAAACUCGACCAAGGAACCGAGGGACGGCCAGAUGCUUUGCAUUGCUACUAUGAGAAAAAUUCUCAGUAUGAAGAAAUGCGGAUUCCUUUGCGAGACAUUAAAUGUGUAUGUACUACUCACAAAAUGUCGCGGAAUAACUGUUUCGCUGUACACACGCCUUUAAGAACUCAAGAACGAAACCCUCUGGUGAUCUAUACCGGAUCUGAAAAAGAACUCAUUGACUGGGUCACAACACUGGCCAGUGCUGCCUCACGGGUACAUAACUGCGAGGGGUCCCCUUCAUCAAGGGCCAUCUGGACCACAUCUCUUUGCGGUGACGUUUUCUUUUGCGAGCCGCCUCCACCAGAAACUGAGAUGCAACCAGCUCAAUUAUUUUGGCGGCAAGUUGGCGGACAUAUGCGUAAAGUAGAAGCCGGUGUGUCUGGAGUAGUGUGGGCAAUUGGUUUUGAUGGAAUGCCUUAUUACUACUCUGGGGGAUAUGGUGGAGGUAUUUUUAGUGGUUUUGACAGCAGUAUGUCUGGAAUUUACCAACAGGAGGAUUACGACUGGCAUUAUAUUUAUGAGAAUCAGAGAUGGAACCCUUUGGAAGGAUACUCUGAUAGGCGCCUUCCAAGUGACCGGUGGAACUGGAGUGAUGAGAGCGGAGUGUAUGAACGUACAAGGGAGGGGUACGUGCUUCCAUCUAGUCAGUGGCAGUGGACUGAGGAGUGGACAGUAGAGACCAAACCAAACAUUACAGAUAAGGAUGGCUGGCAGUAUGCUGUAGACUUUCCAAGGGUCUAUCGUCGAGAGCGUGGCUGGAAUGACUAUGUAAGGCGGAGACGAUGGAAAAGACGAUGUAAACUGACCACUACUGGGCCAUGGAUCCAAGUGACGCCUCAAGUCAGAUUACGUGACGUAUCGAUUCAAACUGAUUCACUGGAUGGUUCCAUAGCGGUGUGGACGGUUGGGACAAAAGGUGAUGUCUUAUAUCGACAUGGAGUGGCCGAGGAUUGUCCGCAGAUCCAUGGGACUUGAACCGAUUAGCCCCGUGAUACCGGUGCGAUUCUCUGCCAACUGAGCUACAAUGAAGCCACUGAUCGGGAGCCAGCUCAUUUGGGUCCUCUUGGGAGCACAUUUUGACGGACCUGCCAUUUAUCAGUAUCUCCGUGGGCAGUAAAAGACGCGUUUGGGGGAUAGCUGAG
RNAcentral lists this unclassified non-coding RNA (2994 nucleotides) under Stylophora pistillata. Its description in RNAcentral is "tectonin beta-propeller repeat-containing protein 1- like, transcript variant X2". Lineage: Eukaryota; Metazoa; Cnidaria; Anthozoa; Scleractinia; Pocilloporidae. The record is from RNAcentral.